Molecule: ribosomal RNA, 570 nt
Filed under: uncultured bacterium
Lineage: Bacteria
Description: partial 16S ribosomal RNA
Rfam family: Bacterial small subunit ribosomal RNA
Source: RNAcentral
UAGGGAAUCUUCGGCAAUGGGGGCAACCCUGACCGAGCAACGCCGCGUGAGUGAAGAAGGUUUUCGGAUCGUAAAGCUCUGUUGUAAGUCAAGAACGGGUGUGAGAGUGGAAAGUUCACACUGUGACGGUAGCUUACCAGAAAGGGACGGCUAACUACGUGCCAGCAGCCGCGGUAAUACGUAGGUCCCGAGCGUUGUCCGGAUUUAUUGGGCGUAAAGCGAGCGCAGGCGGUUUGAUAAGUCUGAAGUUAAAGGCUGUGGCUCAACCAUAGUUCGCUUUGGAAACUGUCAAACUUGAGUGCAGAAGGGGAGAGUGGAAUUCCAUGUGUAGCGGUGAAAUGCGUAGAUAUAUGGAGGAACACCGGUGGCGAAAGCGGCUCUCUGGUCUGUAACUGACGCUGAGGCUCGAAAGCGUGGGGAGCGAACAGGAUUAGAUACCCUGGUAGUCCAUGCCGUAAACGAUGAAUGCUAGGUGUUGGAGGGUUUCCGCCCUUCAGUGCCGCAGCUAACGCAUUAAGCAUUCCGCCUGGGGAGUACGACCGCAAGGUUGAAACUCUAAAGUGAAUUGAC